ACUGACACGGAACAACGGCAAACACGCCGCCGGGUCAGCGGGGUUCUCCUGAGAACUCCGGCAGAGAAAGCAAAAAUAAAUGCUUGACUCUGUAGCGGGAAGGCGUAUUAUGCACACCCCGCGCCGCUGAGAAAAAGCGAAGCGGCACUGCUCUUUAACAAUUUAUCAGACAAUCUGUGUGGGCACUCGAAGAUACGGAUUCUUAACGUCGCAAGACGAAAAAUGAAUACCAAGUCUCAAGAGUGAACACGUAAUUCAUUACGAAGUUUAAUUCUUUGAGCGUCAAACUUUUAAAUUGAAGAGUUUGAUCAUGGCUCAGAUUGAACGCUGGCGGCAGGCCUAACACAUGCAAGUCGAACGGUAACAGGAAGAAGCUUG
This 378-nucleotide unclassified non-coding RNA is filed under the name Escherichia coli. Its description in RNAcentral is "partial miscellaneous RNA". The stretch from base 293 to 378 matches the Rfam family "Bacterial small subunit ribosomal RNA", at positions 1 to 87 of the family's 1533-position model. Lineage: Bacteria; Pseudomonadati; Pseudomonadota; Gammaproteobacteria; Enterobacterales; Enterobacteriaceae. The record is from RNAcentral.